GACGAACGCUGGCGGCGUGCCUAAUACAUGCAAGUAGAACGCUGAAGAGAGGAGCUUGCUCUUCUUGGAUGAGUUGCGAACGGGUGAGUAACGCGUAGGUAACCUGCCUGGUAGCGGGGGAUAACUAUUGGAAACGAUAGCUAAUACCGCAUAAAAUGGAUUAUCGCAUGACAAUUCAUUGAAAGGUGCAAAUGCAUCACUACCAGAUGGACCUGCGUUGUAUUAGCUAGUUGGUGGGGUAACGGCUCACCAAGGCGACGAUACAUAGCCGACCUGAGAGGGUGAUCGGCCACACUGGGACUGAGACACGGCCCAGACUCCUACGGGAGGCAGCAGUAGGGAAUCUUCGGCAAUGGACGGAAGUCUGACCGAGCAACGCCGCGUGAGUGAAGAAGGUUUUCGGAUCGUAAAGCUCUGUUGUAAGAGAAGAACGAGUGUGAGAGUGGAAAGUUCACACUGUGACGGUAUCUUACCAGAAAGGGACGGCUAACUACGUGCCAGCAGCCGCGGUAAUACGUAGGUCCCGAGCGUUGUCCGGAUUUAUUGGGCGUAAAGCGAGCGCAGGCGGUUAGAUAAGUCUGAAGUUAAAGGCUGUGGCUUAACCAUAGUACGCUUUGGAAACUGUUUAACUUGAGUGCAAGAGGGGAGAGUGGAAUUCCAUGUGUAGCGGUGAAAUGCGUAGAUAUAUGGAGGAACACCGGUGGCGAAAGCGGCUCUCUGGCUUGUAACUGACGCUGAGGCUCGAAAGCGUGGGGAGCAAACAGG
RNAcentral lists this ribosomal RNA (765 nucleotides) under uncultured Streptococcus sp. Its description in RNAcentral is "bacterial SSU rRNA". It matches the Rfam family "Bacterial small subunit ribosomal RNA", at positions 28 to 776 of the family's 1533-position model. Lineage: Bacteria; Bacillati; Bacillota; Bacilli; Lactobacillales; Streptococcaceae. The record is from RNAcentral.